CGGACCCCAUAAAACCGCAUAUUUCCUGCUUUGGGAGCAGGAUGUCGUAGGUUCGAAUCCUAUCGCCCCGACCA
This 74-nucleotide transfer RNA is filed under the name Acidithiobacillus ferrivorans. RNAcentral's name for it is "tRNA-Pro". The record is from RNAcentral. Lineage: Bacteria; Pseudomonadati; Pseudomonadota; Acidithiobacillia; Acidithiobacillales; Acidithiobacillaceae.